CCAACCUGGGCAACGUAGAGAGACCCUGUCUCAAAAUAAAAAGAGCUGGGGAUAAUGCUAAGCGAUACAGCACCCCUGGGUUCAAUCCCCAGUACCUCAAAGAAAAACAGAAAGAAAGAUAAUAGUAUUGAAUAAGCAGAAGAAAUUAUCCAAUCUGAAGAACAGAUAAGAAUGGAUACAAAUGAAUAGAGCCUGAAAGACUCAAGGGACUCCAUCAAGCAUCAAUAGCAUGCUAAUCACAGGAAUUUGAAGUACUAGGAAAGAAGAGAAGAAAAAGGAGCAAAAAGAAUAGUUGAUAAAAUAAUGGCUGAAAACUUCCCAAUUUUGUUGAUAAACAUUAAUAUACACAUCCAAUAAGGAUCAACAAAUUCCAAAUUUGAUAAACUCAGAGAUCCACUUUGAAGCACAGCAUGUCAAAAAAACAAAGGAAAAGCCAGAUGCAGUGACACACAUGUAUAACCCCAGCAACUCGGAAAGCUGAGGCAGGAGGAUUACAAGUUCAAGGCCAGCCUCAGCCACUUAGCAAGGCCCUAAGCAAUUUAGCAAGAUCUUGUCUCAAAAUAAAAAAAUGUUUAAAAGAGCUGGGGAUGUAACUCAGUGGUAAAGCACCCUUGUGUUCAAUACCUAGUAACAAAAAAUAUUAAUGAUAAUUAAAUUUAAAAGAACUAGGGGUAUGAUUCAGUGGUAGAGGGUCUCUCCAGCAUCAAUCAACAGUACUAAAAAAAAAAAGGUAAAAAAUGUUGAGUAGCAAAAGAGAAGCAACUCAUCACAUGCAGGGUAUCCACAAGAAGAUUAACAGCUGACUUCUCAAUAGAAAUGGGGGAAGCCAUGGGCCAGGGCUGUAGCUCAGUGGUAGAACACUUGCCUAGCAUGGUCAAGGCCCUGGGUUCCAUCUGUGCCAUGGGGAAAAAUUAAUAAAUAAAUAGAUGAUGGAAGCCAAAGAGCAGUGGAUCAAGAGAAUUGGAAAAUGCUAGAUAAUCAGGCACAUGUGUAGCCUGAUUGGAGAAUCGACAUUGUUUUCAUUUGCAGACAACACAAUUGUAUAUCUAGAAAUCCAGUGAACCCUAGAAAAAAGAUUACUAGAGCUAAUAGGCAAGUUCAGCAAGGUUGAAGGAUUAAUAUACAAGAAUUCUUUUUCCAUAUGCAAAUAGUGAAAAACUGGGAAUUAAAAUUAAUAAUUAAUAAAAUGCCAUUUAUGAUAACAUCAAAAAUGUGAAAUACACCGGGUACAUGCCUAUAAUCCCAGUGGCUCAGGAGUUUGAAACAAGAGAAUUGUGAGUUCAAAGCCAACCUCAGCAAAAAGCAAGGCACUAGGCAACUCAGUGAGACCCUACAAAAAAAUAGAGCUGGGGAUAUGGCUCAGGGGUUGAGUCCCCCUGAGUUCAAUCCCAGUAUCCCCCCCCCCAAAAAAAUGUGGAAUACCAAUAAAGAUGUGAGUCUACUGCGCUGGAAACUACAAAACAUUGCUGAGAAAUUAAAGAAGACAUAAACAGAUAAGCCUUCACAUGGUUCAGAACACUUAUAUUGUUCAACUGUUUGAAAUGCACUAGUCAGGUGUUCUUAGUAGAUCCACGGAAUUGUGUAACCACAAUGUAUAGAACAUUUUUGUCCACAUAAAAAAGUUAUUUAUCAAUAACUCCCGCUUCCCUUAGCUCUCUCUCAGCCCUAAGCAACAACUAACCUACUUUAUAUUACUACAGAUUUGCUUAUUCCAGAUAUUUCCGAUAAAUGGAGGCAUUCAGUAUCUGGUCUUUUGUGAUUGGCUUGUUUCUCUUAACAUAAUUUUUUCAAGGUUCAUCCAUAUUGUAGCACGAUUCAGUAUUUUAUUCCUUUCAAUUCCCAAACACUGUGCUGUUGUAAGAGCACAUCACAUUUCAUUUAUCUA
Molecule: long non-coding RNA, 1885 nt
Filed under: Marmota monax (woodchuck)
Lineage: Eukaryota; Metazoa; Chordata; Mammalia; Rodentia; Sciuridae
Source: RNAcentral